RNAcentral lists this ribosomal RNA (499 nucleotides) under uncultured bacterium. Its description in RNAcentral is "partial 16S ribosomal RNA". It matches the Rfam family "Bacterial small subunit ribosomal RNA", at positions 899 to 1397 of the family's 1533-position model. The record is from RNAcentral.
ACUCAAAUGAAUUGACGGGGGCCCGCACAAGCGGUGGAGCAUGUGGUUUAAUUCGAUGCAACGCGAAGAACCUUACCUACCCUUGACAUCCUACGAAGACUGCAGAGAUGCGGUUGUGCCGAAAGGAACGUAGAGACAGGUGCUGCAUGGCUGUCGUCAGCUCGUGUUGUGAGAUGUUGGGUUAAGUCCCGUAACGAGCGCAACCCUUAUCCUUAGUUACCAACAUGUAAUGGUGGGGACUCUAAGGAGACUGCUGGUGAUGAACCGGAGGAAGGCGGGGACGACGUCAAGUCAUCAUGGCCUUUAUGGGUAGGGCUACACACGUGCUACAAUGGUCAGUACAGAGGGCAGCGAACCCGCGAGGGGGAGCCAAUCCCGGAAAGCUGAUCGUAGUCCGGAUCGGAGUCUGCAACUCGACUCCGUGAAGUCGGAAUCGCUAGUAAUCGCGAAUCAGAAUGUCGCGGUGAAUACGUUCCCGGGCCUUGUACACACCGCCCGU